Molecule: ribosomal RNA, 253 nt
Filed under: uncultured bacterium
Lineage: Bacteria
Description: partial 16S ribosomal RNA
Rfam family: Bacterial small subunit ribosomal RNA
Source: RNAcentral
UACGGGGGGUGCGAGCGUUGUCCGGAAUCACUGGGCGUAAAGGGCGCGUAGGUGGCGUCGUAAGUCUGUGGUGAAAGCCCGGAGCUCAACUCCGGGUCUGCCGCGGAUACUGCGAGGCUUGAGUGCUGUAGAGGGGGGUAGAAUGCCGGGUGUAGCGGUGGAAUGCGUAGAGAUCCGGAAGAACACCGGUGGCGAAGGCGGUCUGCUGGGCCGAUACUGACGCUGAGGAGCGAAAGCGUGGGGAGCGAACAGG